GUAAUCCAGGACAGAGAGAGGAAAAGGAAAGGCACAGGAGAGAAGAGACGCCAGCUGCCACCAGGAGAAGCAAGAUGUGAAACCACUGACUUGUGACUAGAAUUCAUGCCUGGAUUUUAUAACACCAAUGAGAAGUAUCUGCCCAGCAUAAGUGGGCUCAGCCUCUCAAGGCCCCUGUGCUCAGAAGCCACCAUUCUUCUCAUCCUCUCAGCAAUCAAAAGAGAUGUUAGAUUGGGCAAGAGUAAGCAACAAGGAUGAGGCAGGUAUGGACAUGGUGUGACCAUUGGAUAUCAUGCAGGAGAGAAUGCUGUGGAGAC
This is a long non-coding RNA of Peromyscus eremicus (cactus mouse), 317 nucleotides long. RefSeq lists it as uncharacterized. NCBI's taxonomy places the organism in Eukaryota, Metazoa, Chordata, Mammalia, Rodentia, Cricetidae. The transcript is spliced from 3 exons. The record is from RefSeq and is a predicted model, not a curated record.